Molecule: unclassified non-coding RNA, 258 nt
Filed under: Hevea brasiliensis (rubber tree)
Lineage: Eukaryota; Viridiplantae; Streptophyta; Magnoliopsida; Malpighiales; Euphorbiaceae
Source: RNAcentral
AACUUCAAUCAAAAUUGAACCCUUGAUCACAUUCUUGUCUUUCUUUACGAGAAGAUCCUUACAUGUUCUACUCCCUGAAAUUGUCUUGAAAUUAAGGCAAGAGCCCCAUUGCCAUGACAAAUUCUUACUAUCUAAGAAAGCUUGCUAAACUAUGUUCAGAGAUUUCCAGACCAUAUAUGUCCUUACUUGCAUAUGCCAUGUCAUGCAUUAUAUCAAGAGUUCUAUGAUGUGCAUUUGUAAGGCUAAGGCAAAGUUAAA